RNAcentral lists this small nuclear RNA (138 nucleotides) under Carlito syrichta (Philippine tarsier). RNAcentral describes it as "U4 spliceosomal RNA (ENSTSYG00000033565.1)". It matches the Rfam family "U4 spliceosomal RNA". Rfam says of the family: U4 small nuclear RNA (U4 snRNA) is a component of the major U2-dependent spliceosome. The structure of U4 snRNA from yeast and human has been reported. The record is from Rfam by way of RNAcentral. Lineage: Eukaryota; Metazoa; Chordata; Mammalia; Primates; Tarsiidae.
AGCUUUGUCCAGUAGUAGUAUCAUAGUCAAUAAGAUUUAUCCAAAGUGCAAUAUUGCCAAUUGAAAACUUUCCCUGAUACCCUGCCAUGAAAACUUGUUAUAGUUGGCAUCGGCAAUUUUUGACAGUCCCUAUGAAGA